This 63-nucleotide transfer RNA is filed under the name Neogeoscapheus hanni. Its description in RNAcentral is "tRNA-Asp". The record is from RNAcentral. Lineage: Eukaryota; Metazoa; Arthropoda; Insecta; Blattodea; Blaberidae.
GAGGGCUUAGUUAAUUUAUAACAUUAGACUGUCAAGCUAAAAUUAUCAAAAAGAUAUCCCUCU